Non-coding RNA from Linepithema humile (Argentine ant), 452 nucleotides. Lineage: Eukaryota; Metazoa; Arthropoda; Insecta; Hymenoptera; Formicidae. The record is from RefSeq and is a predicted model, not a curated record.
UAGAUAAAUUCCAUCAGCGGAUGACCACUAUGAAGCAAAAGUUGAAUAUGCUAACACAUAUGCUGAAUGAAAGUUGUGAAGAAAUUGCUAAAACAUUUGUGCGAUGAAUAACGUCAGUCAUAGAAUCCUUGAUCGAAAAAAUAGACACAUCAAAUUUAUACGAUUCUUACGUACCUGUUACGACAGACAUUGCGACGACUCAUUGUUAGAAAUGUUACUGAGGAGAAUCCAAAAAUCAGCAGUUACAUGGGAAUUCGAGUUACGCAUCAAUAUAGCAGAAUUAAAUUAGAUGUUUAUAUCGAUAUGCUGUCACCUUUAACAUUAACAGCGGCGAACGGACAAUCAACGGAAAUAUCACAAAUACAUUAUUGGAUGGAUAGACAACAAUUUUCUCACAAUCCGGCAGUUUUUCAAUUGAAAAAGUUGAAUUUCGAAAGAGACCAAACGGUAAC